AUAUAAUUUCCAAAUUUUUGUUCCAAGAAAUGAUGAUCUUCAAUAAAUGUUUGAUUAGAUGAGACUUCCCCCUGGGUGAUCAAAUGUUUGAUUAAU
Ipomoea nil (Japanese morning glory) is the source of this 96-nucleotide long non-coding RNA. RefSeq lists it as uncharacterized. The transcript is spliced from 3 exons. NCBI's taxonomy places the organism in Eukaryota, Viridiplantae, Streptophyta, Magnoliopsida, Solanales, Convolvulaceae. The record is from RefSeq and is a predicted model, not a curated record.